This 75-nucleotide transfer RNA is filed under the name Candidatus Yanofskybacteria bacterium RIFCSPHIGHO2_01_FULL_44_17. RNAcentral describes it as "tRNA-Arg". It matches the Rfam family "tRNA". Rfam says of the family: Transfer RNA (tRNA) molecules are approximately 80 nucleotides in length. Their secondary structure includes four short double-helical elements and three loops (D, anti-codon, and T loops). RNAcentral also lists the same sequence under 2 other names. The record is from RNAcentral. Lineage: Bacteria; Candidatus Yanofskyibacteriota.
GCCCCUGUCGUUCAACGGAUAGGACGAGGGUUUCCUAAACCCUAAAUCCAAGUUCGACUCUUGGUGGGGGCACCA